Mus musculus (house mouse) is the source of this 62-nucleotide non-coding RNA. NCBI's taxonomy places the organism in Eukaryota, Metazoa, Chordata, Mammalia, Rodentia, Muridae. The record is from Rfam.
UAGGGAGGAUGGGGUUUGGAGCCCCUCCCUGAACCCAGGGUAACUCUAAAGGUGGAGGGAAA